UGGGGAAUCUUGCGCAAUGGGGGAAACCCUGACGCAGCAACGCCGCGUGGGUGAUGAAGGCCUUCGGGUCGUAAAGCCCUGUCAGGUGGGAAGAAACUUGUGGAUGUUAAUACCAUCCAUGCUUGACGGUACCACCGGAGGAAGCACCGGCUAACUCCGUGCCAGCAGCCGCGGUAAUACGGAGGGUGCAAGCGUUGUUCGGAAUUAUUGGGCGUAAAGCGCGUGUAGGUGGUCGUGUAAGUCAGAUGUGAAAGUCUUCUGCUUAACAGAAGAAGGGCAUUUGAAACUGCUCGACUAGAGUACGGGAGAGGAGAGUGGAAUUCCCGGUGUAGAGGUGAAAUUCGUAGAUAUCGGGAGGAACACCAGUGGCGAAGGCGGCUCUCUGGUCCGAUACUGACACUGAGACGCGAAAGCGUGGGGAGCAAACAGGAUUAGAUACCCUGGUAGUCCACGCCGUAAACGAUGGGCACUAGGUGUAGGAGGUAUUGACCCCUUCUGUGCCGAAGCUAACGCAUUAAGUGCCCCGCCUGGGGAGUACGGCCGCAAGGCUA
RNAcentral lists this ribosomal RNA (551 nucleotides) under uncultured bacterium. Its description in RNAcentral is "bacterial SSU rRNA". It matches the Rfam family "Bacterial small subunit ribosomal RNA", at positions 355 to 896 of the family's 1533-position model. The record is from RNAcentral.